RNAcentral lists this ribosomal RNA (538 nucleotides) under Achaetomium globosum. RNAcentral's name for it is "eukaryotic LSU rRNA". It matches the Rfam family "Eukaryotic large subunit ribosomal RNA", at positions 58 to 608 of the family's 3401-position model. Lineage: Eukaryota; Fungi; Ascomycota; Sordariomycetes; Sordariales; Chaetomiaceae. The record is from RNAcentral.
AAAGAAACCAACAGGGAUUGCCCUAGUAACGGCGAGUGAAGCGGCAACAGCUCAAAUUUGAAAUCUGGCUUCGGCCCGAGUUGUAAUUUGUAGAGGAAGCUUUAGGCGCGGCACCUUCUGAGUCCCCUGGAACGGGGCGCCACAGAGGGUGAGAGCCCCGUAUAGUUGGAUGCCUAGCCUGUGUAAAGCUCCUUCGACGAGUCGAGUAGUUUGGGAAUGCUGCUCAAAAUGGGAGGUAAAUUUCUUCUAAAGCUAAAUACCGGCCAGAGACCGAUAGCGCACAAGUAGAGUGAUCGAAAGAUGAAAAGCACUUUGAAAAGAGGGUUAAAUAGCACGUGAAAUUGUUGAAAGGGAAGCGCUUGUGACCAGACUUGCGCCGGGCGGAUCAUCCGGUGUUCUCACCGGUGCACUCCGCCCGGCUCAGGCCAGCAUCGGUUCUCGCGGGGGGAUAAAGGCCCCGGGAACGUAGCUCCUCCGGGAGUGUUAUAGCCCGGGGCGUAAUGCCCUCGCGGGGACCGAGGACCGCGCAUCUCUGCAA